UCUCGACAGUUUGCAAACCUAAAGGAAUCUGAGCAUUCUCUGAAGGCUUGGUGUGUAUUCAGCUGUUGAACAAAGAGAGCUUGGACAAUCAAACGUGUGCCUGAAGAAACAAGUACAAGGUUACUGUCCUGGAAAAUUAAAGAAAGCUGGAAACUUAAUGCCAGUUUUUAGAGACUCACCUGCAGAAAGGUGCUCAUUGCCUGGUAUAGUUGAUCAUGGCUCUGCCUGCAAGAUAUCGGUACCGUUUCAACAAGUCCCGUGAAUCUCUUGGGCUCCAUUUUUGGAUCAGAAGCAAUAAGAGAGAGGAUCCUAUUAUCCUUCUGAAGAAUCCAAAUGGUAGGGCAAUUAGAUCUUUGAUCCAAAGAUCCUGGAUCACCAUCUCCUUGGCUGUUUCGCGACUCCAAGCUUGGCCCGCCAAGGCCUCCAAUGUCACAACUGGUUUGUCCCUUCUCCUUUCUGGGUCAAGAAUCUCCAUACAAGCCAUGAAGGCAAGAGACUCGAUGCAGCGGCCAACAAUCAGCAGCUCUUCAGACCAUGGAAGCAGUGUUUGACACCUCUGAAGAACAAUCAGCGUAUCAUCCCAACUUUGCAACACAACUUGAUUCAGAUAGAGAUCAAAACGCUCACAAAGAUUGCCGGAGCAGUACUCUUCUUUCAAUUCAAGGAACUCUGCUGCACAUCUCAGGGCUGCUACAUUGAAAGGGUCAAUCAAUGUGGAUGAGCCAUAUAUGAAUAGAGCAAUCAUCUCAAAGGUUUCUGGCCCUCCAGGGAAUUCUUGUGGCAGUUCAAGCUCAGUCGUCUCGAUCAAUCUUUUCUUGAAAUAUCCACUUUUCGAAGACAAGGGAUUCUGCAAAUAACAGAAAGAGAAUUAGCUGUGUUCCUGCUUUACAUCUUAACUUUCUGUAGGUGUAACCAUCGAUCUUACCUUGUGAAGGUUGAAGGUUCUGUCACCAACUCGAACACGAACUGUGACAGGCAAACCAGUCUCUUGACUCCUGAAAAAGAACACAAGAAAAACGUCAGCUGUUCAAAGACAGACAGUAGACAUUAGCAUCACAAGAACCUCUGUGGAAAUCUUAUGUUUCUUACCAUGAAAUGAUCUUAAUCUUUAGUAA
Molecule: long non-coding RNA, 1115 nt
Organism: Ricinus communis (castor bean)
Lineage: Eukaryota; Viridiplantae; Streptophyta; Magnoliopsida; Malpighiales; Euphorbiaceae
Exons: 3
Source: RefSeq, a predicted model, not a curated record